CGCGGUAUUUUGACCGUGCGAAGGUAGCAUAAUCAUUAGUCUUUUAAUUGAAGGCUUGGAUGAAGGGUUGGACGAGAAAUUAGCUGUCUUUAUUAUGAGAGUAAAAUUUAACUUUUAAGUGAGAGGGCUUAAAUAAACUAAAGGGACGAUAAGACCCUAUAAAGUUUGACACUAACUGUAGUAAGAGGAGCUAGGUGAGUUAAUAAAAGUUAAUUAGUGGGGGAAGUGUUUUGUUGGGGCGACAAAGAUAUAAGAAAUUUAACUGUCUUUAGGUUAAGUCAGAGAUGUUUGUAAGAAGGAGGAUCCUUAUUAAAGGUGUUAGAAUAAAUUACUUUAGGGAUAACAGCGUAAUUUUCUCUGAGAGUUCUUAUCGACGAGAGAGUUUGCGACCUCGAUGUUGAAUUAAAGAGUCUUUAUGGCGUAGCGGCUAUAAAAGAGGGUCUGUUCGA
Molecule: ribosomal RNA, 449 nt
Filed under: Engaeus lyelli
Lineage: Eukaryota; Metazoa; Arthropoda; Malacostraca; Decapoda; Parastacidae
Description: partial 16S ribosomal RNA
Rfam family: Bacterial large subunit ribosomal RNA
Source: RNAcentral